RNAcentral lists this ribosomal RNA (1213 nucleotides) under Symbiotaphrina desertorum. RNAcentral describes it as "eukaryotic LSU rRNA". The stretch from base 604 to 1213 matches the Rfam family "Eukaryotic large subunit ribosomal RNA", at positions 1 to 626 of the family's 3401-position model. The record is from RNAcentral. Lineage: Eukaryota; Fungi; Ascomycota; Symbiotaphrinales; Symbiotaphrinaceae.
ACGUUGGCAACGACGACCCAGUGCCGGAAAGUUCGUCAAACUUGGUCAUUUAGAGGAAGUAAAAGUCGUAACAAGGUUUCCGUAGGUGAACCUGCGGAAGGAUCAUUAACGAUUUCUGACCCUUCGGGGUCGAUCUCCAACCCUUUGUAUACCUUACCUUGUUGCUUUGGCGAGCCGUCGUCGCUCUCCGGAGCGGUGCCGCUGGCCUCACGGCUAGUGAGUGCUCGCCAGAGUCCACCAAAACUCUGAUUUAACCAUGCAGUCUGAGUAAAAAUAUUAAAUAUAUUAAAACUUUCAACAACGGAUCUCUUGGUUCUGGCAUCGAUGAAGAACGCAGCGAAAUGCGAUAAGUAAUGUGAAUUGCAGAAUUCAGUGAAUCAUCGAAUCUUUGAACGCACAUUGCGCCCUUUGGUAUUCCGAAGGGCAUGCCUGUUCGAGCGUCAUUUCACCACUCAAGCCUAGCUUGGUAUUGGGCCAUCGUCUGGUUAAACGGACGUGCCUGAAAAUCAGUGGCGGUGCCCAUCCGGCUUCAAGCAUAGUAAUUUUUAUCUUGCUUUGGAACGUUGGAGGGUACACCCGCCAAAACCCCAAUUUUUUUAAGGUUGACCUCGGAUCAGGUAGGAAUACCCGCUGAACUUAAGCAUAUCAAUAAGCGGAGGAAAAGAAACCAACAGGGAUUGCCUCAGUAACGGCGAGUGAAGCGGCAACAGCUCAAAUUUGAAAUCUGGCCCUUUCAGGGUCCGAGUUGUAAUUUGUAGAGGAUGCUUCGGAAUGGUCCCAGUCUAAGUUCCUUGGAACAGGACGUCGCAGAGGGUGAGAAUCCCGUAUGUGACUGGGUAACCGGCCCAUGUGAAGCUCCUUCGACGAGUCGAGUUGUUUGGGAAUGCAGCUCUAAAUGGGUGGUAAAUUUCAUCUAAAGCUAAAUAUUGGCCAGAGACCGAUAGCGCACAAGUAGAGUGAUCGAAAGAUGAAAAGCACUUUGGAAAGAGAGUUAAAAAGUACGUGAAAUUGUUGAAAGGGAAGCGUUUGCAACCAGACUUGCCUGCAGUUGAUCAACCGGUGUUCUCACCGGUGCACUCUUCUGCAGUCAGGCCAGCAUCAGUUUGGGCGGUUGGAUAAAGGUUGGAGGAAUGUAGCUCCCCCCGGGGAGAACUUAUAGCCUUCGGCGUCAUGCAGCCUGCCCGGACUGAGGACCGCGCUUUUGCUAGGAUGC